ACCAUCUAACAAAUGGAUUGUCCAAAACCCAAAAGGAUCAAACACCUAAGAAUCAGCCAAGCACGGGCCAAGCUCCAACUAGAUUCAACCCAAUCAAAUGCAUAAAUGGGCAAGCCAACUACGAUGGACAGAUAAGGAGCAAACAACCAACACUACCCAAACAAAGUAAUUAACAACUUUAUGUCCAUAAAUUGGUCGGUUGACUAAUUUGACAAGCUUGGGAUAAAUCUAUACCAAACAG
Molecule: long non-coding RNA, 241 nt
Filed under: Elaeis guineensis (African oil palm)
Lineage: Eukaryota; Viridiplantae; Streptophyta; Magnoliopsida; Arecales; Arecaceae
Description: long non-coding RNA (EGUI_LNC000267)
Source: RNAcentral